AUACGGAGGAUCCGAGCGUUAUCCGGAUUUAUUGGGUUUAAAGGGAGCGUAGGUGGAUUGUUAAGUCAGUUGUGAAAGUUUGCGGCUCAACCGUAAAAUUGCAGUUGAAACUGGCAGUCUUGAGUACAGUAGAGGUGGGCGGAAUUCGUGGUGUAGCGGUGAAAUGCUUAGAUAUCACGAAGAACUCCGAUUGCGAAGGCAGCUCACUAGACUGUUACUGACACUGAUGCUCGAAAGUGUGGGUAUCAAACAGGAUUAGAUACCCUGGUAGUUCACACAGUAAACGAUGAAUACUCGCUGUUUGCGAUAUACAGUAAGCGGCCAAGCGAAAGCAUUAAGUAUUCCACCUGGGGAGUACGCCGGCAACGGUGAAACUCAAAUGAAUUGACGGGG
RNAcentral lists this ribosomal RNA (393 nucleotides) under uncultured bacterium. RNAcentral describes it as "partial 16S ribosomal RNA". It matches the Rfam family "Bacterial small subunit ribosomal RNA", at positions 523 to 918 of the family's 1533-position model. The record is from RNAcentral.